This is a non-coding RNA of Camellia sinensis, 820 nucleotides long. Lineage: Eukaryota; Viridiplantae; Streptophyta; Magnoliopsida; Ericales; Theaceae. The record is from RefSeq and is a predicted model, not a curated record.
CUCUCCUUCCUCUCCAACCCCCCUAUAUAAGAAUACCCUCAUCAUCUUUCAAUCCUCACAACAUUUAGUUAUCUCUACAUUCUUUCUCCUAAACUAGUCAACUUUGUUUUAUUUGGGGUUAAGAUUUUUGCUUAGGAUUAGUUUACUGUUUGUCAACUUAGUUGGGAUGCGCUGUGUACCAUGGAAAUUUUCUCCAUAGUUGUUAUUAACUCAUAGUAAUCUUUUACUUGCAGUUAAUAAAAUUUCUCCUUUUUUGUUGACUGAAAAAAUAUAAAAAAACUUGCUAUUCAUUAAUGUUAUUUUAACCCAAGUGGGUCCUUAAUGCAUAGUUGCAAAAUGAUUUAGAGAAGUGGGUUUUUUUUUUACUAGUCCUAUUUGUUUUCUUUUUUGCUUUUAGUUGUUUCUUUUUAGGGUAAGGAUUUCUCUUAUUUUAUUUUGCAUAGUUGCGAAGGAAGAUCUCAAGAUUGGCCACCAAUCAAUUUUUGGGGAUGCAGUAUCGUCACGAUCCCCAAACUUUUGAUGGGGUAUCAUUUUGGUGUAGUCAUGGAAGGUCCCUUGCUCUACCCAAAAAACUCCUUUGAUUAUUUGGGAAUCCUGAUGAUGCUGCUUCAGCGAAUAGUUGAUUUCCCUUUUAGCUCGAUUGAAGAAGGUUCAUGUCUAUGCAUACAUUAAACUACACAAACGUCGACGUUGAAAGGAUGAAUGGGAGAGCAAAAUUGAGGGAGCAGGUGGACAUGUUCAUAAUAAGAUCAAGAAAGACACACACUGCUUAGUUGUGAGUGGAGUGCUGGAUAAUAAAGAGGCUGACAUGAGGAAGGAA